AGAGUUUGAUCCUGGCUCAGGACGAACGCUGGCGGCGUGCUUAACACAUGCAAGUCGAACGCGCUUCACUCCUUCGGGAGUGAAGUGAGUGGCGAACGGGUGAGUAACACGUGAGCAAUCUACCCUUGACUCUGGAAUAACAGCUGGAAACAGCUGCUAAUACCGGAUACGACCUUCGAUGGCAUCAUCUGGAGGUGGAAAGCCCCGACGGUCAAGGAUGGGCUCGCGGCCUAUCAGCUUGUUGGUGAGGUAACGGCUCACCAAGGCUUCGACGGGUAGCCGGCCUGAGAGGGCGACCGGCCACACUGGGACUGAGAUACGGCCCAGACUCCUACGGGAGGCAGCAGUGGGGAAUAUUGCACAAUGGGCGCAAGCCUGAUGCAGCAACGCCGCGUGCGGGAUGACGGCCUUCGGGUUGUAAACCGCUUUCAGUAGGGACGAAGGUAACCUGACGGUACCUACAGAAGAAGGACCGGCCAACUACGUGCCAGCAGCGGCGGUAAUUC
This 506-nucleotide ribosomal RNA is filed under the name uncultured bacterium. RNAcentral describes it as "bacterial SSU rRNA". It matches the Rfam family "Bacterial small subunit ribosomal RNA", at positions 8 to 526 of the family's 1533-position model. The record is from RNAcentral.